GCCUCUAUAGCUCAGCUGGUAGAGCACCUGAUUUGUAAUCAGGGGGUCGGCGGUUCGAGACCGUCUGGGGGCACCA
This 76-nucleotide transfer RNA is filed under the name Pseudogemmobacter lacusdianii. Its description in RNAcentral is "Xinfangfangia sp. CPCC 101601 tRNA-Thr". It matches the Rfam family "tRNA". Rfam says of the family: Transfer RNA (tRNA) molecules are approximately 80 nucleotides in length. Their secondary structure includes four short double-helical elements and three loops (D, anti-codon, and T loops). Lineage: Bacteria; Pseudomonadati; Pseudomonadota; Alphaproteobacteria; Rhodobacterales; Paracoccaceae. The record is from RNAcentral.